RNAcentral lists this ribosomal RNA (453 nucleotides) under Triticum aestivum (bread wheat). RNAcentral's name for it is "partial small subunit ribosomal RNA". The record is from RNAcentral. Lineage: Eukaryota; Viridiplantae; Streptophyta; Magnoliopsida; Poales; Poaceae.
AUGGCCAGCCCUAGCCUUGUAGUCCUGUCCAUGAUCUUGGCCUUGCAUUCCAUUCUAUCCAUGGCAUGUGCAUCCCUUUCCUCUGUUCUUCAAUGCGAGUCCGAGGUAAACUUGCACCUGUACUUGCACCAAAUCGCAUUUGGACAAGGCAUAAACCAGGUAGCAAUUGUUCUGUCCAGCCAACCAGCCGUGUUUGGUCUAACUACUGUUAUCGACUGGACUGUGAUUGAUGGACCAAACCCCAAUUCCACCAUUGUUGCCCGCACGAAGGGCAUGCAAGUGCAGGCUGAUGUAGCCGGUCCAGGCUGGUUCAACUACUUCAGCAUGGUAUUCGAGAAAAACUCCAGGUCAAGGCCAGAUGGCAAUUAUCAGUGGCACUGGAGAGUUUUCUAUGGCGUGUGGGAUCAUCAAGUACAAAGCGCUCGACAACCCCCCUCUGAAUCAAACUAUUAA